UACGUAGGGGGCGAGCGUUGUCCGGAUUUAUUGGGCGUAAAGAGCUCGUAGGCGGUUUGGUAAGUCACGGGUGAAAUCUCCACGCUCAACGUGGAGGCGCCCCGUGAGACUGCUAUGACUAGAGUCCGGUAGAGGAGUGUGGAAUUCCCGGUGUAGCGGUGAAAUGCGUAGAUAUCAAGAGGAAUACCUGAGGUGAAGACGGGUUGCUAGGCCGACACUGACGCUGAAGCGCGAAAGCCAGGGGAGCAAACGGG
Molecule: ribosomal RNA, 254 nt
Filed under: uncultured bacterium
Lineage: Bacteria
Description: partial 16S ribosomal RNA
Rfam family: Bacterial small subunit ribosomal RNA
Source: RNAcentral